AAUGCCAGGUCGAAUUCCAUGGGCUAUAUUUUCAAAAGUUGUGCUAUGCUGUGUAUAUAUUUUUUAUUUUUUAGUCCAAUAGCUAUAUUUGUAAUUAAUGAAUAUUUGUUCAACAUAAUUUAAGUGAAAUUGUAUUAUGUUUUGGUAUUGUACUUUUUUUUUUUUAAAGUGAAAUUCUAUCAUGUUUUGGAAUUUAAAUGUUUUUAGGUUAAAAUGUUCAGAAAAUUAAAUCACAAAUAUUGAAACAAAAAUAAUGUCAAGAAAAAUGAACGAGAACAAAAAAAAUUAAGGGUUAAUCAUUCUUAAACAAUUUAAUAA
Molecule: long non-coding RNA, 318 nt
Filed under: Prunus persica (peach)
Lineage: Eukaryota; Viridiplantae; Streptophyta; Magnoliopsida; Rosales; Rosaceae
Description: long non-coding RNA (PPER_LNC000997)
Source: RNAcentral